GCAUGGCGGGUGUUGGAAAGUUUUUCGGUGAAGGAUGGGCUCGCGGCCUAUCAGUUUGUUGGUGAGGUAGUGGCUCACCAAGGCGAUGACGGGUAGCCGGCCUGAGAGGGCGACCGGCCACACUGGGACUGAGACACGGCCCAGACUCCUACGGGAGGCAGCAGUGGGGAAUAUUGCACAAUGGGCGAAAGCCUGAUGCAGCGACGCCGCGUGAGGGAUGACGGCCUUCGGGUUGUAAACCUCUUUCAGCAGGGAAGAAGCGAAAGUGACGGUACCUGCAGAAGAAGCGCCGGCUAACUACGUGCCAGCAGCCGCGGUAAUACGUAGGGCGCAAGCGUUGUCCGGAAUUAUUGGGCGUAAAGAGCUUGUAGGUGGCUUGUCGCGUCUGCCGUGAAAACCCGAGGCUCAACCUCGGGCGUGCGGUGGGUACGGGCAGGCUAGAGUGUGGUAGGGGAGACUGGAACUCCUGGUGUAGCGGUGAAAUGCGCAGAUAUCAGGAAGAACACCGAUGGCGAAGGCAGGUCUCUGGGCCAUUACUGACACUGAGAAGCGAAAGCAUGGGGAGCGAACAGGAUUAGAUACCCUGGUAGUCCAUGCCGUAAACGUUGGGCACUAGAUGUGGGGAACAUUCCACGUUUUCCGCGUCGUAGCU
This 652-nucleotide ribosomal RNA is filed under the name Brachybacterium sp. RNAcentral describes it as "bacterial SSU rRNA". It matches the Rfam family "Bacterial small subunit ribosomal RNA", at positions 191 to 853 of the family's 1533-position model. Lineage: Bacteria; Bacillati; Actinomycetota; Actinomycetes; Micrococcales; Dermabacteraceae. The record is from RNAcentral.